RNAcentral lists this ribosomal RNA (121 nucleotides) under Erinaceus europaeus (western European hedgehog). Lineage: Eukaryota; Metazoa; Chordata; Mammalia; Eulipotyphla; Erinaceidae. The record is from RNAcentral.
GUCUACGACCAGCUCACCCAGAACACGACCCAAUCUUGUGGGCUCUCGGAAUAUUCUGUGGCUCGGGCCUUUGUUCGUACUACGAUGGGAGUCUGUCGGGGAGUAACCAGAGCUGUAGGCA